AAUUUCACAAAGGAGUGCUUCUGGCUGAGAUCGCAUUAUGCGAAAUCCUGAUAACCUGAUCUCGUUAGUACGAGCGUAGGGAUUGUGACAUGACUUUUU
Molecule: non-coding RNA, 99 nt
Filed under: Streptococcus sp.
Lineage: Bacteria; Bacillati; Bacillota; Bacilli; Lactobacillales; Streptococcaceae
Description: TPP sequence
Rfam family: TPP riboswitch aptamer (THI element)
About the family: Vitamin B(1) in its active form thiamin pyrophosphate (TPP) is an essential coenzyme that is synthesised by coupling of pyrimidine and thiazole moieties in bacteria.
Source: RNAcentral